UACGUAGGGUGCAAGCGUUGUCCGGAAUUAUUGGGCGUAAAGAGCUCGUAGGCGGUUUGUCGCGUCUGCUGUGAAAACCCGAGGCUCAACCUCGGGCCUGCAGUGGGUACGGGCAGACUAGAGUGCGGUAGGGGAGAGUGGAAUUCCUGGUGUAGCGGUGGAAUGCGCAGAUAUCAGGAGGAACACCAAUGGCGAAGGCAGAGCUCUGGGCCGUAACUGACGCUGAGGAGCGAAAGCAUGGGGAGCGAACAGG
RNAcentral lists this ribosomal RNA (253 nucleotides) under uncultured bacterium. RNAcentral describes it as "partial 16S ribosomal RNA". It matches the Rfam family "Bacterial small subunit ribosomal RNA", at positions 524 to 776 of the family's 1533-position model. The record is from RNAcentral.